GACAGCAAAAAUGGAUGACAAACGAUUUUACAACUUGGUAUUCAUGUUGUUGUUUUUCUUUGUGCAAGAAUUAUUUUAUUGGGUGUCGUCCAAUCUUGACUCUUUUUCACUCGAAUUUUUCUUUGGAUUAUCACAUUAAUGCGUGAGUCUAUUUCCAAGGCAAGUGCUUAUUCUUCAUUUCUCUAUUUUUUUAUUUUUU
RNAcentral lists this long non-coding RNA (199 nucleotides) under Lathyrus oleraceus (garden pea). Its description in RNAcentral is "Pisum sativum (pea) long non-coding RNA (PSAT_LNC015440)". The record is from RNAcentral. Lineage: Eukaryota; Viridiplantae; Streptophyta; Magnoliopsida; Fabales; Fabaceae.